CAUGAAUGAAAAGGUCAUAUAUUUAAAAUGAAACGCCCCUCUAGAGGGAACUUCCUGUUGGAAAGUGGGAGUUCAGAAUUCAAGAUGGCAGCUGCUCCUCACAACUCAACAAAGGUGAUUCCUCUCUGAAAGAAGGCCACGGCCAGAUGUUCAUCCUUGCGUAUGCUGCAGUCAAAUGCCUGAGAAACGACAGAAAGAAGCUCUAACUUCCUCCAGAAGAGCAGAAAGCAUUCAAGUCCUGGUCCAGGAGCUGGAGGCAGCCGAUGUUGAAGCAGAUUUUGGAGUUAGGGUCUUGGAUGGACAGGAAGA
Long non-coding RNA from Austrofundulus limnaeus, 309 nucleotides. RefSeq lists it as uncharacterized. The transcript is spliced from 3 exons. Lineage: Eukaryota; Metazoa; Chordata; Actinopteri; Cyprinodontiformes; Rivulidae. The record is from RefSeq and is a predicted model, not a curated record.